AGCUUUUCAGCCUUUUAGGGAAUGUUCAAGUGUACUGUGUGUUCUUACCAGUUUCUUAUCUGAUAGGUGGCUGCAAGGAUUUGCUGUUAAAUAGCAUUAUGGAGACAGGAGAUGCUUUGGGAGCUCACUGCAGCCACUUCACACGUGGCCCUGGUGUCGCAGUACCUCCUGGUGUGCUGUUGGCCCU
Egretta garzetta (little egret) is the source of this 187-nucleotide non-coding RNA. NCBI's taxonomy places the organism in Eukaryota, Metazoa, Chordata, Aves, Pelecaniformes, Ardeidae. The record is from Rfam.